Molecule: ribosomal RNA, 1434 nt
Filed under: uncultured bacterium
Lineage: Bacteria
Description: 16S ribosomal RNA
Rfam family: Bacterial small subunit ribosomal RNA
Source: RNAcentral
AGAGUUUGAUCCUGGCUCAGGAUGAACGCCGGCGGUGUGCCUAAUACAUGCAAGUCGUACGCACUGGCCCAACUGAUUGAUGGUGCUUGCACCGGAUUGACGUUGGAUCACCAGUGAGUGGCGGACGGGUGAGUAACACGUAGGUAACCUGCCCCGGAGCGGGGGAUAACAUUUGGAAACAGAUGCUAAUACCGCAUAACAACAAAAGCCACAUGGCUUUUGUUUGAAAGAUGGCUUUGGCUAUCACUCUGGGAUGGACCUGCGGUGCAUUAGCUAGUUGGUAAGGUAACGGCUUACCAAGGCGAUGAUGCAUAGCCGAGUUGAGAGACUGAUCGGCCACAAUGGAACUGAGACACGGUCCAUACUCCUACGGGAGGCAGCAGUAGGGAAUCUUCCACAAUGGGCGCAAGCCUGAUGGAGCAACACCGCGUGAGUGAAGAAGGGUUUCGGCUCGUAAAGCUCUGUUGUUGGAGAAGAACGUGCGUGAGAGUAACUGUUCACGCAGUGACGGUAUCCAACCAGAAAGUCACGGCUAACUACGUGCCAGCAGCCGCGGUAAUACGUAGGUGGCAAGCGUUAUCCGGAUUUAUUGGGCGUAAAGCGAGCGCAGGCGGUUGCUUAGGUCUGAUGUGAAAGCCUUCGGCUUAACCGAAGAAGUGCAUCGGAAACCGGGCGACUUGAGUGCAGAAGAGGACAGUGGAACUCCAUGUGUAGCGGUGGAAUGCGUAGAUAUAUGGAAGAACACCAGUGGCGAAGGCGGCUGUCUGGUCUGCAACUGACGCUGAGGCUCGAAAGCAUGGGUAGCGAACAGGAUUAGAUACCCUGGUAGUCCAUGCCGUAAACGAUGAGUGCUAGGUGUUGGAGGGUUUCCGCCCUUCAGUGCCGGAGCUAACGCAUUAAGCACUCCGCCUGGGGAGUACGACCGCAAGGUUGAAACUCAAAGGAAUUGACGGGGGCCCGCACAAGCGGUGGAGCAUGUGGUUUAAUUCGAAGCUACGCGAAGAACCUUACCAGGUCUUGACAUCUUGCGCUAACCUUAGAGAUAAGGCGUUCCCUUCGGGGACGCAAUGACAGGUGGUGCAUGGUCGUCGUCAGCUCGUGUCGUGAGAUGUUGGGUUAAGUCCCGCAACGAGCGCAACCCUUGUUACUAGUUGCCAGCAUUAAGUUGGGCACUCUAGUGAGACUGCCGGUGACAAACCGGAGGAAGGUGGGGACGACGUCAGAUCAUCAUGCCCCUUAUGACCUGGGCUACACACGUGCUACAAUGGACGGUACAACGAGUCGCAAGCUCGCGAGAGUAAGCUAAUCUCUUAAAGCCGUUCUCAGUUCGGACUGUAGGCUGCAACUCGCCUACACGAAGUCGGAAUCGCUAGUAAUCGCGGAUCAGCAUGCCGCGGUGAAUACGUUCCCGGGCCUUGUACACACCGCCCGUCA